UGCUAGCUCCAUCUGUGAAAAUUGCAGUGCUGAUCAGCCCAAUGUCUUUGGAAUAUUGCUAGGAUUUUUCUUUUUUCAGCUACCGCCUGGCUCCUUCAACCUUGGUUUCUCAUCCAAGUCAUAUCUUUGGCUUUCUUUUUCUCUCUUUAGGGGUUUGGUUGAAAAUUUUCCAAUGGCGCAGCAGAAGAUUCAGAUCAAGAAGAUUGACAACACAGCAGCAAGCAAGUAACCUUCUCAAAGAGGAGAAGAGGGCUUUUUAAGAAAGCACAGGAGCUCUCAACACUGUGUGACGCUGAGAUAGCGCUUAUUGUCUUCUCAGCAGCAGGAAAGCUCUUUGAGUAUUCAAGCUCAAGCUGGAGAACAGCACCUUUGCAGUCUUGAGCGAAGAAAUUGCCCAAACAAUUAUCAUACUUCCAUUCACUUUCUCCAUUACAUACCACAUUGUAAUUCGGAGACAUAAUCUCAUCUGCAACAGGAAAAUGAGAGGAGAAGAGCUCCAGGGAUUAAAAAUAGAAGAAUUGAUUGAACUAGAGGAAUUGCUUGAAGCUGGUCUGUGCAGCAUUGUGGAAGAAAAGGCUGAAAGAAUUCGAAGAGAUCAGUGACCUCCAGAGAAAGGUCAAGAACCUAACUUCGAAAUUUUCCAAGGCAUUCCAUAUACAAAUUUUUAGAAUAAAAGAGAAAACUAAAGAAAAUGGAGACUAGCUAGUAUCAGGUUUACAUUGAAAAUUUUCACUUUGUGAUUGGUUCUUAAGUGAUGAUUUCCACCAUUUAUGAUGCUUCCUGGCUCUUUUAACCUUUUGUUAGAAGUCUUAAGCAAUGCAUCUGUUUACGGAAAAAAAUUAAUUACUAUUGCAACUGCAGUAGUGCCAAUACAUGUUGUAAUAAGUCCAUAAAGAUCAGGUUUGCUAUUGGAAAUAAAUAUUUCAGGGUAAUUUGCAAAAAGAAGGUUUGAACCUGGAAACUACAACAAAUUCAACAACGGCGAGACCAAUAAAACUCAGGAGGGACUUGGGACUUGUUGGAUUACGCACACUCUGAUAGUGUCACAAUAAUAGGAAUCUAAAGGAACUAUAGAUAAACUGAGAUAUAACCUAGGAUGACGUUGUAAUGAUGGGAAUCCAAAGGAACUUGAGAAAAUCUAAGAUGCAAUUGCCAUGACCGAAAUUGAAGGGUGAUAAAGGAAACCAAGGAUGUGGUCGCCAUGAUUGAAAUCCAAGGAUGAUAAAAGAAAACCUAUGACGCGAUUGUCAUGACUGAAAUCAAAGGAUGCUAAAAUAAACAAAACUUAAGAUGUGGUCACCAUGAACGAAGUCAAAAGAUGAUAAGAUGAAAUCAUAAAACAUACUUAGUUUAUAACCGAAAUCACCUUACACAAACUUGGAAUGAAGGGACACAAUCUACAACUAGAAUCACCUAAAACAUACUUAGAAGGAGAAGAUGCAAUCCAUAACCAAAAUUAUAUAAAACAUACUCAAAAUGAUAGGACAUAGUCUAUGACUCUCUAAGACGAAGGAGUAGCUCAAGACUAAAAGACUUGAUGCCUAAAGGAGAAUGCAUGUUGUGACUUCUACGAUGAAAGAUAAAAACUUGAGGUUGAAAAGCUUAAAGCCUAAGGGAGAACACAAGGUGCGACUCUUAAGAAAAGGAAUAACUUAAGACUAAAAGGCUCGAGGACCAAAGAUGAUUAAAAAGAUGUAGAAGGCACGGAGACUUAAAGAUAGCUGAAUGUCACGGACUUAGUCGUUCACUAAGCUCAUGCGGCACUUAGGAAAGUCAAGACGCUUGAUCUUGCUAAGUUAGCCUUGCUCCCAAUGCUUAGCUUGCUAGGCUAAGAUGCUCACAACUCGAAAGCUUAAGAAGCUUAGCAGACAACUCUUAGAGAAUGGAAGCUCUUAUUACUUAAGGAAACCUUUACAAGUGCUUUAAAGACUCACUUGCUUGGUUAGAAAGUGAUUUGGGUGGUGUCUUGGCCAAAUGAGGCCCUCACCUAUUUAUAGGCACCAAUGGAACUCUCCGGAACCUUGGAGGGUUCCUUACAAAUCAAGAAUAUUCUAGAACUUCCUAUACUAAUCUAUGUACAACACUAUGUACAAGAAUAUACAAGAGAUCUUUAGAAUUUUCUAGAAAGCCUUAAGCUCCUCUCAUGCCUUCCACCAUAGUGUAGAGAUGUGUGGACAUCUCUAGGCAUCUCUAGAACCUUCCAGACUCUUCCCACCAAUGGCUUAGUGUAGAUGACUCUAGGAGUCUCCAGAAGCUUCCCUUCUCCUAUAUAAACCCAUGGGGAGGGUCAUUUGAAGCAUCUUGUGACAUGAAGGUGCAUCUCAAGGCUGAAGGAUGAUUAAAAGAUGUGGUUGGAGGCCGAUUUAUGAUAAGAAAAUGAUGAACUGAACCAAUGACGUGGCGUAAGGCUAAAAGAUGACUAAAGAUAUACUAAAGGCAUGAAGACCUAAAGAUAGUUGUAAAUGUAACUCAAGACUGAAGGAUGAUUUGAUAGCAUGACUUAGGACUGAUCUAUGAUAAGAGAAAAAUCUAAUGAUGUGGCUUAGGGUUGAUCUAUGAUAAUAAAAUGAUAUAAUGGUGCAACUCAUUAUUGACUUAUGAUAAGAAAAAGUUCAACUAAACCAAUUAUGCAGCUUGAGGCCGAAAAAUGACUAAAAAGAUAUACUGAAAGUGCAAAGACCUAAAAAAUUGAAGGUGCGGUUUAGGGCUGACCUACAAUUAGAUAAAGAUAAAUUAAACCAAAGACGCAGCUUAGGGCUGAUCUAUAAAUAAGAAAGAGAUGCUAAAGGCCUUGAGAGCUAUAAAACUAAAGGUACAACUCAGGGCUGAAUGAUGGUUUAAAGGUGCGACUUAGGGUUGACAUACGGCUAGACAAAGACAAACUAAACCAAAGAUGCGACUUGUGGCCAAUCUAUAACUAAGAAAAAGAUGUUGAAGGCGCGGAGACCUAUAAAUCUAAAGGUGCAACUCAAGGCUAAAGGAUAAUAUAAUAGUGCGGCUGGGGCCAAUCUAUGAUAAGAAAAAGAUCUAACGGUGGUUAGGGCUAAUCUUUGAUAAUAAAAAAAUCUAGAGGCACAACUUGAGGUCGAUCAACAACUAAGAUGCAAAUCUGACAAUGUGGUUCAAGGCUGAUCAAUGAUAAGAAAAAUGUGAACUAAACUAGUGAUGCGACUUGAAGCCAAUUUAUAACCAAGAAAGAGAUACUGAAAGUGUAGAGACAUAAAAAUUGAAGGUGCGGCUUAGGAUUGAAGGAUAAUCUAAUCGUAAGGACUCGCACCCAAUCGUGUAGAUAUUAUUUACUUUGAGUCCAAAAGGGCCCUCACGCCUUUAAAACAUCUAUAAGGUUAAGAGAAGCCCAUACAUAUAUAGCGUUAAGAACUUUCUCCUAUAUCUGAUGUAGGAUAUCACAAUCACCCCCUCAUGCAAACACAAUGACUUCAUUGUGUCUUAUCAGAUUACGAGGCCAAACAGAAAUACACCCCUCACGUGGCUAAACAAACCCCUGCAACGGGGUCAGGAAUUAACUCUAAUACCAUUUGUAAUGAUUUGCACUCAAUCGUGUAGAUAUUGUUUGCUCUAGGUUCAAAAAGACCCUCAUGACUUUAAAACGUGUCUACAAGAUUAAGAGGAGCCCAUGCAUGUAUAUAACACUAGAAACUUUCUCCCCUAUCCGAUGUGGGAUAUCAUAAUCACCCUCCUUCCCCUAUGUAGACAUAAUGUUCUCAUUGUGUCUUACAUGAUUGUGGGGUCAAACAUACAAACAUCUCUUAUAGGGCCAAACAAACCCCUAUCUGGGAUCAGGGAUUAAUUUUGAUACCAUUUGUAAAACCUCACACCCAACCAUGUAAAUAUUAUCCUAUCUAGGUCCAAAAGGGUCAGACGUGUUUUAGAGUUAUUAAGGCCCUUUUAGGCCCAAAGCAGACAAUAUCUACACGGUUGGGUAUGAGUCCUUACAAAUGAAAAAUUAAUCAAAUAUCAUUUGUAAUGACCCACAUCCAAUCGUGUAGAUAUUGUCUGCUUUUUGGGGCCUGAUGGCUUUAAAACUCGCUUGGUCCCUUUGAACCCAGAGUAGACAAUAUCUACACGGUUGGGUGUGAGUUGUUACAAAUGAUAUCAAAGUCGAUCCAUGACUUCGGUGUGGGGGUUUGUUUGGCCUCAUAAAUGGUGUUUUUCUAUUUGGUCCCGUAAUCCUAUGAGACACAACGGGGAUAUUGUGUCUGC
Molecule: long non-coding RNA, 4221 nt
Organism: Vitis vinifera (wine grape)
Lineage: Eukaryota; Viridiplantae; Streptophyta; Magnoliopsida; Vitales; Vitaceae
Exons: 4
Source: RefSeq, a predicted model, not a curated record